UACGUACUGUGCGAACGUUAUUCGGAAUCACUGGGCUUAAAGGGUGCGUAGGCGGCUAUCUAAGUAGGGUGUGAAAGCUCUCGGCUCAACCGAGGAAUUGCGCUCUAAACUGGAUGGCUUGAGUGAGAUAGGGGUGUGCGGAACUUCCAGUGGAGCGGUGAAAUGUGUUGAUAUUGGAAGGAACACCGGUGGCGAAAGCGGCACACUGGGUCUUAACUGACGCUGAGGCACGAAAGCCAGGGGAGCGAACGGG
This 253-nucleotide ribosomal RNA is filed under the name uncultured bacterium. RNAcentral's name for it is "partial 16S ribosomal RNA". It matches the Rfam family "Bacterial small subunit ribosomal RNA", at positions 524 to 776 of the family's 1533-position model. The record is from RNAcentral.